Molecule: long non-coding RNA, 1314 nt
Filed under: Musa acuminata (dwarf banana)
Lineage: Eukaryota; Viridiplantae; Streptophyta; Magnoliopsida; Zingiberales; Musaceae
Description: long non-coding RNA (MACU_LNC009194)
Source: RNAcentral
GGUCGUAGAACAAAAUCUCUGUUUGGCAGAAUUCAUAAUGUCAGAUUCAACAGAUAACUGGGCAGGUGUUUGGAUUCCAAAUCUUUCAAUCCAUAUAUCAAAAGAAAGAUCUAUGAGUCUAGUUUCCAAUGAAUAAGCUUUGAAUAAAUCAACGUUUGCAACAGGGACUUAUAAGCCGUUCAGUAUCAAAAGGUCAGAAAUUACGAUCCCUGUUUUGCAAAAUCAGUAGGCUCAUUUGAAACAGAAGUUUGGGCAGACAAACUUACUCUGAAUUCUUAAUAUAAGCUUUCAAAACAAAGGUUUAUGAGUCUAUAUUCUGAUCAAAUAAGUUUUGUCCAAAUCAGAGGUCAAUACAUGAUGUUAUAAUCAUAACAAGGACGAAAGGUUAGAAUCUCAAAAGUUGCACAGAUUCGGAUCGAUAUGUCCAAACAAGAGAUAUAUCAAAUGCAAGGCUAGAACAAUUCAAGUUCCACAUAUCCAAAUCAAAUAUAGAGAUCAAAUUACAGUAAGGAAAGAUCAGGAUACUUGCAAUAGGAAAGAUUAGAACAAUUACAGGAGGAACGAAUCGGGAAACUUGCAAUAAGAAAUAUCAGAGCACUUAUACGAGAAACGAUCAGGGAACUUGCAAUAAGAAAAGAUCAGGGAACUUGCAAUAAGGGAACUUGCAAUAAGAAAUAUCAGAGCAAUUAUAGGAGAAACGAUCAGGGAACUUGCAAUAAGACAUAUCAGAGCAAUUAUAGGAGAAACGAUCAGGGAACUUGCAAUAAGAAAUAUCAGAGCAAUUAUAGGAGAAAUGAUCAAGGAACUUGCAAUAAGAAAUAUCAGAGCAAUUAUAGGAUAAACGAUCAGGGAACUUGCCUUUCAAGGAUUUCGAUCCGAAGAUUCAAAGAAGGUGUCAGUCCAAUCCUUCUACUUUUCCUCCGUGUCCUCUCUCUGUUUCGUUUUGUGCUCCCGUUUUCUUCCUUUCUUCGCAACUACACCACGUGUCGAACAUCGAGGCACAGUCACCUGCUCUCUCUUACUCUCAUUCCUUCUUUUUCUUUCCCAAACGCAGCUGCCACAACCGCCGCCGCCGCCGCUGCCGCUGCCACAAUCCCGUCAGCAGCCCCUUUUUCCCCCUUUCCUUUCUUUUCUUUCCCAGCUGCAACUGCCGCAGUUGCAGUCGCAACCAUGGCCGCAGCCACCACAGCCGCAGCCUCUUCUUUCUCCCCUGCUCUAUUUCCUCUCCUUCUCUUCCAGCUGCAGCUGCCACUGCCACAGCUGCCUCUCCUUCUCCUCUUCCUCUCUUCUUCCCUUUUCCUUUCUCUUCUUCUU